Molecule: ribosomal RNA, 493 nt
Filed under: uncultured bacterium
Lineage: Bacteria
Description: partial 16S ribosomal RNA
Rfam family: Bacterial small subunit ribosomal RNA
Source: RNAcentral
GAGUGAACGCUGGCGGUAGGCCUAACACAUGCAAGUCGAACGGCAGCACAGUAAGAGCUUGCUCUUACGGGUGGCGAGUGGCGGACGGGUGAGGAAUACAUCGGAAUCUACUUUUUCGUGGGGGAUAACGUAGGGAAACUUACGCUAAUACCGCAUACGACCUACGGGUGAAAGCAGGGGAUCUUCGGACCUUGCGCGAUUGAAUGAGCCGAUGUCGGAUUAGCUAGUUGGCGGGGUAAAGGCCCACCAAGGCGACGAUCCGUAGCUGGUCUGAGAGGAUGAUCAGCCACACUGGAACUGAGACACGGUCCAGACUCCUACGGGAGGCAGCAGUGGGGAAUAUUGGACAAUGGGCGAAAGCCUGAUCCAGCCAUACCGCGUGGGUGAAGAAGGCCUUCGGGUUGUAAAGCCCUUUUGUUGGGAAAGAAAAGCAGCAGGUUAAUACCCCGCUGUUCUGACGGUACCCAAAGAAUAAGCACCGGCUAACUUCGUG